This 21-nucleotide non-coding RNA is filed under the name Arabidopsis thaliana (thale cress). Lineage: Eukaryota; Viridiplantae; Streptophyta; Magnoliopsida; Brassicales; Brassicaceae. The record is from RNAcentral.
UAAACGGCGGGAGUAACUAUG